UACGGAGGGUGCAAGCGUUAAUCGGAAUUAUUGGGCGUAAAGGGUAUGUAGGCGGUAUAGAAAGUCAUGUGUGAAAGGCCUGGGCUUAACCUAGGUUGGUCACGUGAAACUUCUACACUUGAGUCUGACAGAGGCGAGUGGAAUUUCCUGUGUAGCGGUGAAAUGCGCAGAUAUAGGAAAGAACACCAGUGGCGAAGGCGACUCGCUGGGUCAAGACUGACGCUGAGGUACGAAAGCGUGGGUAGCGAACAGG
RNAcentral lists this ribosomal RNA (253 nucleotides) under uncultured bacterium. Its description in RNAcentral is "partial 16S ribosomal RNA". It matches the Rfam family "Bacterial small subunit ribosomal RNA", at positions 524 to 776 of the family's 1533-position model. The record is from RNAcentral.